GGGAGUAGAUUUAGCACGUAAGCGCCAUGGAUGACGAAUCGUGCAUGCUGCUGGCCCGAACCAGCCGUAUCUUUCGAAGAUUUCUACUUCC
Molecule: non-coding RNA, 91 nt
Organism: Glossina austeni
Lineage: Eukaryota; Metazoa; Arthropoda; Insecta; Diptera; Glossinidae
Source: Rfam